GAAGCAGCCCUCCACGUCAGGUCAGGAAAGAGGAUUAAGAAGACCAGGAAGUAUGACAUAAUCACCACUCCAGCUGAGCGGGUAGAAAUGGCUCCUCUGAAUGAAGAAGAUGAUGAGGAUGAAGACUCAACAGUGUUUGAUGUGAAAUACAGGUAGAGCAGUUCUGUGGAGCACUGGUGCCCUGCCAGAUGGCAUUCUGCUGUUGAGGGACCUGCUGAAGCCAUAACUGUGAAAGGAGAGGCUUUCAUCUCUGCAGCAUUACAACCAAACCAAGCCUCAUCUCCUCGAGGUGCUGUUUGUACGGCAGGCUACAAAUCUUCCGACCAAAAUGUCACCAUUCGGUUCCCUGGUUUCCAAACCACUAUGUUGGAAUGAUGGAGUUCCUCCUCGCCAACUCAGCUCCCUCUUGCUUCAAGAGGACUGCUAUGUCACUAAAGCAUGACAAGAUUCAGCCCUGUGUACUAACUUGCAGCUCAUUAUGGUCUAAAUAAGUUUUGCAGAAGAAGGAAGAAGAGGAAGAUUCAAUCAAGCUGCCUCAAGGACUUAUUUUCCCAAUUCAGUACUUUCAUCACUGUUAAACUUUGCUCGCUGUAGGACAGCUCAUACAUUUAAAUAUUAAGAAGGGUAUUUUCUUUCUGGCCUUACAGAAGUGACUUGUGACUUUAGGUGGUAAAAAUGUAAGCCAUGUUGAAAUGCAGUACUAUGUUUAGUAUAGGAUUUUAAGGGGAAAAAGGUGAGAGGUUGACUCAUGCAGAAAAUUUUCUUGACUUGCUACUGAUUUUUUAAACAUUACAGUUGCACUAUGCUUUCAUAAUGACAUUUUCAUUGUCCCUAGGAGCUCUGAUCAGACCAACAAUAAAUGAGAUCACAGGGAAAUAGGAGGAAUCAGACAUGCCCUAAACUACAACAAUCUUGGAUUUAAAAAAAAAAGAUAUAUUUUUGUAAUUUUCUGCCCUUCCAUAGGGAGUUUAAGUGUUUUGUACUGUUGUGUGUCCUACGCUUACUGUAACUUGUGUACCAAUCAUCUGUAUUACCUUUUUUCUAAGCAGAGUAAGUCCUCACACGGAAUGAUUUGACUGCAGAAAGACCACUACUUAUAUGUCACAGCAGCUUUAUAUAAGUGAUCUUAAUCUGUAAAAAACUGGAAGUUUUCCCUUACCACCUGCUUGGCAAAUCCCAUUAAACUCAAGGAUGCAUUUUGAACCAUUACUCCCUGCUGUGCUUCGCGCUGCAGAGGUCAGAGCUGUGGGAGGACACUAAUAAAAUGAGAUAGCUGCAUCUGGAUGGAUCAGGCUAAGGAAACCACAAGCAUGUAUACUUUCCAGGCAGUCAUUAGAAAAGGCAAGCCUAACUGGUUUUGUUUCUUCACGUUGUGGUUUUCCUCUAGAAUAACCACAGAUGCAGCUCAGAUUUCUCUUUGAUGCGUUUACUCUUCAUUUGCUUCACCCUUGAAACCUUCAUAGUUUGGGUUUAAAAGCUCCCUGGAGAACCUUGCUUUUCUUGGGAACCACACGUUUUCUGUUUGUCUUAGGAUCGUCCCAGUGUUUGCUUGACUUACUCCUACAGUUACAACCCUUCAAGGAGACUGCAGAGUAUCUGGCAAAGAACCAUCCUUGCAGUGAGUUGCCUUUUUUUUUUUUUUCCUGUGGAAUUGAUGAUUGCUGAGAACACCAGACUGCUUUGUCAUGAUACCAUAACCUAUGCUGGUUCUGCAUGGUUCCCAUGGGCCCUGCAGUCCGUAAGAGGAGGAG
Molecule: non-coding RNA, 1751 nt
Organism: Meleagris gallopavo (turkey)
Lineage: Eukaryota; Metazoa; Chordata; Aves; Galliformes; Phasianidae
Source: RefSeq, a predicted model, not a curated record